This 468-nucleotide ribosomal RNA is filed under the name uncultured bacterium. RNAcentral describes it as "partial 16S ribosomal RNA". It matches the Rfam family "Bacterial small subunit ribosomal RNA", at positions 28 to 507 of the family's 1533-position model. The record is from RNAcentral.
GACGAACGCUGGCGGCGUGCUUAACACAUGCAAGUCGAACGGAAAGGCCCUGCUUUUGUGGGGUGCUCGAGUGGCGAACGGGUGAGUAACACGUGAGUAACCUGCCCUUGACUUUGGGAUAACUUCAGGAAACUGGGGCUAAUACCGGAUGUGAGCUCCCGCUGCAUGGUGGGGGUUGGAAAGUUUCGGCGGUUGGGGAUGGACUCGCGGCUUAUCAGCUUGUUGGUGGGGUAGUGGCUUACCAAGGCUUUGACGGGUAGCCGGCCUGAGAGGGUGACCGGCCACAGUGGGACUGAGAUACGGCCCAGACACCAACGGGGGGCAGAAGUGGGGAAUACUGAACAAUGGGCGGAAACCUGACGCAGCACCGCCGCGUGCGGGAUGACGGCCUUCGGGUUGUAACCCGCUUUCGCCUGGGACGAAGCGUGAGUGACGGUAAUGGGUAAAGAAGCACCGGCUAACUACGUG